GCCGCGGUGGUGGAACGGUAGACACGCAGGUCUCAAAAACCUGUGAGUAUUGCACUCAUGAGAGUUCGAAUCUCUCCCGCGGCACCA
Molecule: transfer RNA, 87 nt
Filed under: Candidatus Woesebacteria bacterium
Lineage: Bacteria; Candidatus Woeseibacteriota
Description: tRNA-Leu
Rfam family: tRNA
About the family: Transfer RNA (tRNA) molecules are approximately 80 nucleotides in length. Their secondary structure includes four short double-helical elements and three loops (D, anti-codon, and T loops).
Source: RNAcentral